RNAcentral lists this ribosomal RNA (1254 nucleotides) under metagenome. RNAcentral describes it as "bacterial SSU rRNA". It matches the Rfam family "Bacterial small subunit ribosomal RNA", at positions 81 to 1305 of the family's 1533-position model. The record is from RNAcentral.
GUCGAGAGAGUAAACUGGCGAACGGGUGAGUAACGCGUAGGUAAUUUGCCUUUAAGUGGGGGACAGGCACGGGAAACUGUGAUUAAUACCGCAUAUUGUUGAUUUACACAAGUAGAUUAAUGAAAGUUGGGGACCUUCGGGCCCAACGCUUAAAGAUAAGCCUGCGUCUGAUUAGUUAGUUGGUGGGGUAAUGGCCUACCAAGACAUCGAUCAGUAGCUGUUCUAAGAGGAAGAUCAGCCACAUUGGGACUGAGAUACGGCCCAGACUCCUACGGGAGGCAGCAGUGAGGAAUUUUGCGCAAUGGGGGCAACCCUGACGCAGCAACGCCGCGUGACCGAUUGAAGCUUCUAGGAGUGUAAAGGUCUGUCGUGAAGGAAGAAAAAGUCCGAGAAUAAUAAGUUCGGUAAUUGACGGUACUUCACAAGCAAGCUCCGGCUAACUUCGUGCCAGCAGUCGCGGUAAUACGAGGGGAGCAAGCGUUGUCCGAAAUAACUGGGCGUAGAGGGUACGUAGGCUUUUGUGUGUGUUUUCGGUGAAAGUCAUAGGCUCAACUUAUGAAUUGCCGGAAAAACUGCAUAGAUUGAAUCCGGAAGGGGAAAGCGGAAUUCCUGGUGUAGCGGUGAAAUGCGUAGAUAUCAGGAGGAACACCAGUGGCGAAGGCGGCUUUCUGGUCCGGAAUUGACGCUGAGGUACAAAGCGUGGGUAGCAAACAGGAUUAGAUACCCUGGUAGUCCACGCCCUAAACGAUGUAUACUUGAUGUCGGGAUGUUCGGUCGUCUCGGUGUCGUAGCUAACGUGUUAAGUAUACCGCCUGGGGACUACGGUCGCAAGACUGAAACUCAAAGGAAUUGACGGGGGCCCGCACCAGCGGUGGAACAUGUGGUUUAAUUCGAUGCAACGCGAAGAACCUUACCUGGGCUUGACAUACAUAUGAAGUAUGUAAGAAAUUAUGUAUAUUUGCUGCUUGCAGUAAACAUAUGUACAGGUGAUGCAUGGCUGUCGUCAGCUCGUGUCGUGAGAUGUAGGGUUAAGUCCCUUAACGAGCGCAACCCUUGCUUUUAGUUGCCAUCAGGUAAUGCCGGGGACUCUAGAAGGACUGCCGAGGUAAACUCGGAGGAAGGUGGGGAUGACGUCAAGUCAGUAUGUCCCUUAUGUCCAGGGCUACACGCGUGUUACAAUGGCCGGUACAGAGUGCAGCAAGACCGCGAGGUGGAGCAAAUCACUUAAAGCCGGUCCCAGUUCGGAUAGGAGUC